UACGGAGGGUGCGAGCGUUAAUCGGAAUUACUGGGCGUAAAGCGCGCGUAGGCGGUUUGACAAGUCGGAUGUGAAAGCCCCGGGCUCAACCUGGGAAUGGCAUUCGAUACUGUCAGGCUAGAGUAUGGUAGAGGAAAGUGGAAUUCCACAUGUAGCGGUGAAAUGCGUAGAUAUGUGGAGGAACACCAGUGGCGAAGGCGACUUUCUGGACCAAUACUGACGCUGAGGUGCGAAAGCGUGGGGAGCAAACAGG
This 253-nucleotide ribosomal RNA is filed under the name uncultured Thioprofundum sp. RNAcentral's name for it is "partial 16S ribosomal RNA". It matches the Rfam family "Bacterial small subunit ribosomal RNA", at positions 524 to 776 of the family's 1533-position model. The record is from RNAcentral. Lineage: Bacteria; Pseudomonadati; Pseudomonadota; Gammaproteobacteria; Chromatiales; Thioprofundaceae.